UUCUUUUUUUUUUAACUUUACAAUCAUAUUAUAUAAAAAAUACACAUACAGCUAUGAUUGAAGGAUUGGACAACAGAACUAGAAUCCCAUACUAAGUCCAUCCAUCUAACACUAAAACACGACAUAUUACAGACUGCAAACUGGACAACGUAAAUACUGAUUUUACAGGCCUUUAUACUAUAUAAAACAUGCAAGAAUAAAUACAUAACUACACUACUGUGAAAUUAUUUGUGAGGUUCAGUUUUGACCCCCACCACCACCAGCACCACUAGUUAGAAACCACUAACCACUUACAUGCAAACCAGGUCAGCGCGAGGUAGUGAUAGCGCGCCGACCUAACCUUUGUAAAUCCUCAACCUUCAGAUCAUCCUACUUUAACA
Molecule: non-coding RNA, 380 nt
Organism: Paramuricea clavata
Lineage: Eukaryota; Metazoa; Cnidaria; Anthozoa; Malacalcyonacea; Plexauridae
Source: the annotation of a GenBank genome assembly